RNAcentral lists this transfer RNA (63 nucleotides) under Rattus norvegicus (Norway rat). It matches the Rfam family "tRNA", at positions 1 to 62 of the family's 71-position model. Rfam says of the family: Transfer RNA (tRNA) molecules are approximately 80 nucleotides in length. Their secondary structure includes four short double-helical elements and three loops (D, anti-codon, and T loops). Lineage: Eukaryota; Metazoa; Chordata; Mammalia; Rodentia; Muridae. The record is from Rfam by way of RNAcentral.
GGGGAUUUAGCUCAAUGGUAGAGCGCUUGCCUAGCAAACACAAGGCCCUGGGUUCAGUCCCCA